UGGGGGAUAUUGCACAAUGGGCGAAAGCCUGAUGCAGCGACGCCGCGUGGGGGAUGAAGGCCUUCGGGUUGUAAACUUCUUUUGCUCUGAACAAGGCAUGCCUUUGGGGUGUGUUGAGUGUAGGGGUUGAUUAGCGCCGGCUAACUACGUGUCAGCAGCCGCGGUAAUACGUAGGGCGCGAGCGUUGUCCGGAAUUAUUGGGCGUAAAGGGCUUGUAGGUGGCUGGUUGCGUCUGUCGUGAAAGCUCAUGGCUUAACUGUGGGUUUGCGGUGGGUACGGGCUGGCUUGAGUGCAGUAGGGGAGGCUGGAAUUCCUGGUGUAGCGGUGGAAUGCGCAGAUAUCAGGAGGAAUACCGGUGGCGAAGGCGGGUCUCUGAGCUGUUACUGACGCUGAGGAGCGAAAGCGUGGGGAGCGAACAGG
Molecule: ribosomal RNA, 420 nt
Filed under: Fusobacteriota bacterium
Lineage: Bacteria; Fusobacteriati; Fusobacteriota
Description: Fusobacteria bacterium partial 16S ribosomal RNA
Rfam family: Bacterial small subunit ribosomal RNA
Source: RNAcentral